This 257-nucleotide long non-coding RNA is filed under the name Brassica napus (rape). RNAcentral's name for it is "long non-coding RNA (BNAP_LNC012383)". The record is from RNAcentral. Lineage: Eukaryota; Viridiplantae; Streptophyta; Magnoliopsida; Brassicales; Brassicaceae.
ACUAGCAAGGAAUAAGAAGGAUCUACAACAAAACACCCUAGAUCUACACUUAAUCACCUUAAUCUACCUUAACCCAUGAAUCCAAAGGUAACUACUCACUACUCUUCAUGAUAAACCCAAGAAUCAAAGAUGAUUUGGUGUUAAUCAUGAUUAGUAAUCAAGAUAGUCAAGCAAAUUCAAGAGAAUAAGAAGAAAAGAAACUAAAGAUUCAAGUUUUCUCUCUAAAGAGUUCUUGUGUUCUUCAUAAAAAACUAGAU